GACGUAGGGUGCAAGCGUUGUCCGGAUUUAUUGGGCGUAAAGAGCUCGUAGGCGGCUUGUCGCGUCGACUGUGAAAACCCGCGGCUCAACCGCGGGCCUGCAGCCGAUACGGGCAGGCUAGAGUUCGGUAGGGGAGACUGGAAUUCCCGGUGUAGAGGUGAAAUUCGUAGAUAUCGGGAGGAACACCGGUGGCGAAGGCGGCGACCUGGGUAGAUACUGACGCUGAGGCGCGAAAGCGUGGGGAGCAAACAGG
Molecule: ribosomal RNA, 253 nt
Filed under: uncultured bacterium
Lineage: Bacteria
Description: partial 16S ribosomal RNA
Rfam family: Bacterial small subunit ribosomal RNA
Source: RNAcentral